RNAcentral lists this ribosomal RNA (377 nucleotides) under uncultured eukaryote. Its description in RNAcentral is "partial 18S ribosomal RNA". It matches the Rfam family "Eukaryotic small subunit ribosomal RNA", at positions 592 to 976 of the family's 1831-position model. The record is from RNAcentral.
CAACAGCGUAUAUCAAAGCUGUUGCGGUUAAACAGCUCGUAGUUGGAUUUCUGCUGAGGAUGGUCGGUCCACCCCCGGGUGAGUAUCUGACUUAUCCUUAGCAUCUUGCUGGGGAGUGCUGUUGCACUUGACUGUGUUUAAGAACUAGCGUUUUUGCUUUGAGGAAAUUGGGGUGUUCUAAGCAGGCACCUGCCUCUGAACACAUUAGCAUGGAAUAAGUGUGCGGAGUUUUUGCUUCAUCAUGUCGGUUUCUGGAGCUGAGGUGAAGAUUAGUAGGGUUUGUUGGGGGCAUCCGAACUUAGCUGUCAGAGGUGAGAAUCUUGGAUUUGCGGAAGACGGACAAAUGCGAAAGCCUUUGCCCAAGAUGUUUUCAUUGA